CGUGUAGGUGGUUAAACAAGUCAGAUGUGAAAUCGUCUCGCUUAACGAGACAAUUGCAUUUGAUACUAUUUAGCUUAAGUGCAGGAAGGGAAAAUGGAAUUUCCGGUGUAGCGGUGAAAUGCGUAGAUAUCGGAAAGAACACCAGUGGCGAAGGCGGUUUUCUGGCCUGCAACUGACACUGAGGCGCGAAAGCUAGGGGGAGCAAACGGGAUUAGAUACCCCGGUAGUCCUAGCUAUAAACUAUGCAUACUAGGUGUGGGUGGUUCAUUCCAUCUGUGCCGUCGAUAACUCAUUAAGUAUGCCGCCUGGGAACUACGAUCGACAAGAUUGAA
This 332-nucleotide ribosomal RNA is filed under the name uncultured bacterium. RNAcentral describes it as "bacterial SSU rRNA". It matches the Rfam family "Bacterial small subunit ribosomal RNA", at positions 568 to 898 of the family's 1533-position model. The record is from RNAcentral.